CCCUUAGAUGUUCUGGGCUGCACGCGCGCGACAAUGACGUUUGCAACGAGAUUGCGAGGCCGUCAGGUCGAGCUGAUCUUGCAAGCUGCGUCGUGAUAGGGACAGUCGAUUGCAAUUAUUCGACUCGAACGAGGAAUUCCUUGUAAUCGCGCAUCAUCAGUGCGCGCUGAAUACGUCCCUGCCCUUUGUACACACCGCCCGUCGCUCCUACCGAUUGAGUGAUCCGGUGAGGCUUUGGGAUCUGAGCGGAAAGAGCGUUUCGCUGUUUCUGCUCGGAAAACUCAGUCGAACCUUAUCAUUUAGAGGAAGGAGAAGUCGUAACA
RNAcentral lists this ribosomal RNA (323 nucleotides) under uncultured eukaryote. Its description in RNAcentral is "partial 18S ribosomal RNA". It matches the Rfam family "Eukaryotic small subunit ribosomal RNA", at positions 1470 to 1796 of the family's 1831-position model. The record is from RNAcentral.